AGAGUUUGAUCCUGGCUCAGAAUCAACGCUGGCGGCGUGCCUAACACAUGCAAGUCGUACGAGAAAGUGGAGCAAUCCAUGAGUAAAGUGGCGACCGGGUGAGUAACACGUGACUACCUACCUUCUAGUGGGGGAUAACUCCGGGAAACCGGAGCUAAUACCGCAUAACAUCGCAAGAUCAAAGCAGCAAUGCGCUGGAAGAGGGGGUCGCGGCUGAUUAGCUAGUUGGUAGGGUAAUGGCCUACCAAGGCAAAGAUCGGUAUCCGGCCUGAGAGGGCGCACGGACACACUGGAACUGAAACACGGUCCAGACUCCUACGGGAGGCAGCAGUGGGGAAUUUUGCGCAAUGGGGGAAACCCUGACGCAGCAACGCCGCGUGGAGGAUGAAGUCCUUUGGGACGUAAACUCCUUUCGACCAAGACGAUUAUGACGGUACUGGUGGAAGAAGCACCGGCUAACUCUGUGCCAGCAGCCGCGGUAAUACAGAGGGUGCGAGCGUUGUUCGGAAUUAUUGGGCGUAAAGGGCGCGUAGGCGGCGCCACAAGUCACUUGUGAAAACUCUGGGCUCAACUCAGAGCCUGCAAGCGAAACUGUGGUGCUGGAGUAUGGGAGAGGUGCGUGGAAUUCCCGGUGUAGCGGUGAAAUGCGUAGAUAUCGGGAGGAACAUCUGUGGCGAAAGCGGCGCACUGGACCAUAACUGACGCUGAGGCGCGAAAGCUAGGGGAGCAAACAGGAUUAGAUACCCUGGUAGUCCUAGCCCUAAACUAUGGAUGCUUGGUGUGAUCGGUACCCAAUCCGAUCGUGCCGAAGCUAACGCGAUAAGCAUCCCGCCUGGGGAGUACGGUCGCAAGACUGAACUCAAGGAAUUGACGGGGGCCCGCACAAGCGGUGGAGCAUGUGGUUCAAUUCGACGCAACGCGAAGAACCUUACCUGGGCUCGAAA
RNAcentral lists this ribosomal RNA (944 nucleotides) under uncultured bacterium. RNAcentral describes it as "bacterial SSU rRNA". It matches the Rfam family "Bacterial small subunit ribosomal RNA", at positions 8 to 986 of the family's 1533-position model. The record is from RNAcentral.